This 688-nucleotide long non-coding RNA is filed under the name Homo sapiens (human). RNAcentral describes it as "non-protein coding LINC00941:9". Lineage: Eukaryota; Metazoa; Chordata; Mammalia; Primates; Hominidae. The record is from RNAcentral.
UUUUUUCCAAUAUGUGCGCUGCUGGUGUUAAGUCUGAAUGAAGGAAGGGACUGGGAGUCAUUUCCUAACAUUGCUAUGGUUUGAAUGUGUCCCCUAAAUUUCAUGUCUUGGAAACUUAAUCCCCAAAUUCAAAUGUUGAUUGGAAGUGGAACCUUUAGGACAUAAUUAGGAUUAGAUAAGGUCAUCAGUGUGGGCCCCCACCCCCAUGAUGGAACUGGUGGCUUUAUAAGAAGAGGAAGAUAAGAAGGGAAAGAAAGACCUGAGCUGACAUGCACAUGCUUGACCACUUGUCAUGUGAUGCCCUUUGCCAUGUUGUGACACAGCAAGGAGGCCCUCACCAGACGCCAGUGCCAUGUUCUUGGACUUCUCAGCCUCCAUAUUCAUGAACUAAGUUUUUGGAAUCCUUAGGCUUCCACGUGUGGAAAGCCUGAGCUAACCUACUGGAGGAUGAGCCAUCACCUGGAGCAGAUUCAGGCCAUCCUAGUUGAAGCCUCCCUAGGCCAAGCAACCGUCCAACUACCAGACAUUGACCAUUCAGCCUUGAACAUUCAGCACAAAGACAAAACAGACCAGACCAGAAGAGUCCCACAGAAUAGGGGAAACUAUUCAGAGAAAACUUAAGCCACUAAGUUUUAUGGUGUUUUGUUCUGUAGCAGAAGCAUAGGCAUACUGACAAUACAAACCGAAA